GGCUAUACACUGUAAUGAAUUGCUGUAAAAAUUACAGCAAUAUUUUACAGCCGAUGGCUGUAUUUUAAUAAUACAGCAUAUUGCUGUAAAUUGCAAUGAAUUCCGGGGGCGUGGCGGUUUGAAUCAAAUUUACAGAAUAUUGCUGUAAAUUUCAAAUAUACAGAGGCAUUGUGGGAUCUCCAACGGUCAAGAUUCGAGUAGCAGCAAGAGGAGUGAUUUACAACUGUGGUAUUUAUCUGGAGAGAGGAACAAAGACGAAAGGAAAAGUGCCAUCUAAAACAACAGGCAGACAGUUCAGAAGAAACGGGUUGCGUUCAACCUACAUGUGGCCACUCUUCUGUGCAAAGUGAUGGAUUUUCAGUGGAAUUUCUGAAAUCCUCUCUUUGAAUCCUGGGAUGGAACAUCAUCUGGAGCAGAAUUGUUCUUUUUUGAUCAAGUUUGUUGGACUUGUUGUUUGGCCAUGUUGGUAUGUUCAUGAAGUGAUAAAAGUGAUGUGGGUUUUAAGAAAUGUUUUUAUAUGACCCUGUUGGUCAAGUUAUAGUUAUAAUUGUAUUUCUUUGUGUGAAGGGCCAUGAUGGCCAAUAAGUAAUUUAAAAACAUUUUCAUGAUACAAUUUUGUCCCUUUAAAAAAUAAAAUGAUUUUCUAAAUAAAAAAUAAAUUCAAAAUAA
Megalobrama amblycephala (Wuchang bream) is the source of this 669-nucleotide long non-coding RNA. RefSeq lists it as uncharacterized. The transcript is spliced from 3 exons. Lineage: Eukaryota; Metazoa; Chordata; Actinopteri; Cypriniformes; Xenocyprididae. The record is from RefSeq and is a predicted model, not a curated record.